RNAcentral lists this ribosomal RNA (450 nucleotides) under uncultured bacterium. Its description in RNAcentral is "bacterial SSU rRNA". It matches the Rfam family "Bacterial small subunit ribosomal RNA", at positions 355 to 825 of the family's 1533-position model. The record is from RNAcentral.
UCGAGAAUCUUUCACAAUGGGCGAAAGCCUGAUGGAGCGACGCCGCGUGGAGGAUGAAGGCCUUCGGGUUGUAAACUCCUGUCAUGAGGGAACAAGAAAGUGAUAGUACCUCAAGAGGAAGAGACGGCUAACUCUGUGCCAGCAGCCGCGGUAAUACAGAGGUCUCAAGCGUUGUUCGGAUUUACUGGGCGUAAAGGGUGCGUAGGCGGCGGCGUAAGUCGAGUGUGAAAUCUUCCGGCUCAACCGGAAAAUUGCACUCGAUACUGUGUCGCUCGAGGACUGUAGAGGAGACUGGAAUUCACGGUGUAGCAGUGAAAUGCGUAGAUAUCGUGAGGAAGACCGGUGGCGAAAGCGAGUCUCUGGGCAGUUCCUGACGCUGAGGCACGAAGGCUAGGGUAGCGAAGAGGAUUAGAUACCCAGGUAGUCCCUGAGCGGGCUGGCAAGGCGCAU